GUAUAUUUAUACCCGAAAUUUACAAAUCCAGCCAUAUAUAAUCGAUUUCAACUUAAAUUUCACAAAAAAGUGAGUUUUUUUCACAUAUCCGAUUUAUUGAACAAGGAUUUUAUCUAAUGCAGAUAUUUGUUGGGCAAUUUGCUUUGCCCGACUUGUACAAGCUCUUUAUAAUAUUGGACGUCCUGUCAACCAACAUGUGCAGUUUUCUAUAGCUGAAUUGAUAGAUCAUAUCAAGCCUGGUGAAUCAGAAAACUUUGAACUUGCCAAUCUGAAAAUUGCUUUUGAUCACAUUGCUGAUAAAGGAAUCUUGAAGGAGCCAACAACAUCAAACAAAUCUCAAAAGGCCAAUGCUCAGGGGAUGAGAGUUCAAGAAACUUUACAUCUUUAUGAAAAUGUGAACGCUGACUUUAUCCGAGCAAGACUGAAUAGAUAUCCAGUUGCUUUGAUAGUGCAGGUGGAUGUUAAGUUUCUAAAGCUUGGACAGGAGGGGGUUUAUCACUUGCCAAAGAAACAUCCCAU
This is a long non-coding RNA of Arabidopsis lyrata subsp. lyrata, 519 nucleotides long. RefSeq lists it as uncharacterized. Lineage: Eukaryota; Viridiplantae; Streptophyta; Magnoliopsida; Brassicales; Brassicaceae. The record is from RefSeq and is a predicted model, not a curated record. The transcript has 3 exons.